This 463-nucleotide ribosomal RNA is filed under the name uncultured soil bacterium. RNAcentral's name for it is "bacterial SSU rRNA". It matches the Rfam family "Bacterial small subunit ribosomal RNA", at positions 26 to 529 of the family's 1533-position model. The record is from RNAcentral.
AGAGCGAACGCUGGCGGCAGGCCUAACACAUGCAAGUCGAACGGACCCUUCGGGGUUAGUGGCGGACGGGUGAGUAACACGUGGGAACGUGCCUUUAGGUUCGGAAUAGCUCCUGGAAACGGGUGGUAAUGCCGAAUGUGCCCUUCGGGGGAAAGAUUUAUCGCCUUUAGAGCGGCCCGCGUCUGAUUAGCUUGUUGGUGAGGUAAUGGCUCACCAAGGCUACGAUCGGUAGCUGGUCUGAGAGGAUGACCAGCCACAUUGGGACUGAGACACGGCCCAAACUCCUACGGGAGGCAGCAGUGGGGAAUCUUGCGCAAUGGGCGAAAGCCUGACGCAGCCAGUGCCGCGUGUAUGAUGGAAGGUCUUAGGAUUAGUAAAAUACUUUACACCGGUAGAAGAUAAGUGACUGUAGACCGGAGAAGAACGACCCCGGACUAACGUUCCGCGACCACGACACGCCGAC